CUAUGCCACCCUGAAUGCACCCCCUUAUCUGAUCUCAGAAGCUGAGCAGAGCCACGCCUUGUUACUAUUUGGAUGGGAGUCGGCCUGGGAAUACAGGGUACCAUAGG
RNAcentral lists this ribosomal RNA (107 nucleotides) under Jaculus jaculus (lesser Egyptian jerboa). The record is from RNAcentral. Lineage: Eukaryota; Metazoa; Chordata; Mammalia; Rodentia; Dipodidae.